GAGCUUUCCAGGCUAUGGACAAAUUCAACAGGGGACGAGUGCAAAUGAACAUCAUGCAGUUCCUGAUGUUGUCGAUGAACAUGUGAGGAGGAACUGAAACGGAUACCAGCGGAGGAACAAAACGCAGCAGAUCAUCUUUAAGAGCAAUGUUGUGAAUAUUAAACUUCGCCAUGAUUCAGAUUCUGUGCUGUUAUUAUUAUUUGAAAUGUAAUGUGAAAACACUGUCUGAGCUCAAAUGUUUUUGAAUGGGAGUGGUUUAUAAUUUUGGUCAUGGGUCCAUCUGUAGGUAUUCACUGCCUCUGACAUGGUACGAGUCUGUGAGCUCAAAUGUAGGACAGCUGGGUCUGUAAAGCAGCCGAGUGCAUGAGAGUGUUUGCCUGGCAAGUUUGCAUCAAUCUCACACUCGUCUAGUCGAAUUCUGCAAAUCAGUCUGACUUUUAGUCGUUUUGAGAAAACUAAAAAAUUAAAGGAGCAACUGACCCUCUUACACUCACUUUCAAGGCAAUCACAUGCAACAGACUGUCUUGACUAACAACUUCACUUCACUGCGGCAGCAACAUGAGUGCCUUUGUACAUGCGUCCUGUUUUUGUUUACAUAAAAAAACUCAAAUUAACUGUCAAUUCCCUUUUGCUGUGACACCGAAGAAAUCUUAAAAAUUUGAGGAUUUUUUUUAGGGCCCUUUUUCUGUUAGCUGAUUACAUCUUAUCUUAAUUAUGAUAAAAACUGAAAGAGGCUAACUGCAGCUGUUAAUGAAUGAAUGAACCUGUCUGUGCCUGAACUUGAAAAUUAGCUGUUACAGGAAGGCCGUCUUCUCACUCGGUUCCACCCCUGAAAAAAUGUAAUGAAUCGGAUCGGUUCACAUCAGCAGAAUGUAAUUUGCACAUGAAUGACUUCAAGGAUAGCAAAAGCAGAAACUUUCAUUUGCAGCAUGCUUUGUCAUAGUGCUUCAACUAAAUUUUGUUGACUUAAGCUUUUGGACAAAGUAUUGGUUUAUUUUCUGUUGGUUUGUUGCUCCCUGCUUGAGUGGGAAUCAUUUUAAAAUAAAACUUUUGUGUUUUCUC
Neolamprologus brichardi is the source of this 1062-nucleotide non-coding RNA. Lineage: Eukaryota; Metazoa; Chordata; Actinopteri; Cichliformes; Cichlidae. The record is from RefSeq and is a predicted model, not a curated record.